This 867-nucleotide unclassified non-coding RNA is filed under the name uncultured Acidobacteriota bacterium. RNAcentral describes it as "uncultured Acidobacteria bacterium partial contains 16S ribosomal RNA, 16S-23S ribosomal RNA intergenic spacer, and 23S ribosomal RNA". The stretch from base 730 to 867 matches the Rfam family "Bacterial large subunit ribosomal RNA", at positions 1 to 138 of the family's 2925-position model. The record is from RNAcentral. Lineage: Bacteria; Pseudomonadati; Acidobacteriota.
CUCUUGUCCACGUUUUACAACGAUGGUCAGCGCCGGCCGUGCCGUCGCGCACGUUCAACCCGUCCUCGAAUAAAAAGAUCGCAGCUACUAGCUUCGAAAGAAGCCAUUAGCCGUUAGCCAUUAGCCUUUAGUAGGGCCGGAUUUCUGUCGCAGACUGAAGGUCUUCAGCUAAGAGCUAAGGGCUAAGUGCUAAUGGCUGGUUUUCCGGGCCUGUAGCUCAGUUGGCUAGAGCGCACCCCUGAUAAGGGUGAGGUCGGUAGUUCAAUUCUACCCAGGCCCACCACAACUCACGGGGCUGUAGCUCAGUUGGGAGAGCACCUGGUUUGCAACCAGGGGGUCACCGGUUCGAGCCCGGUCAGCUCCACCAUUCACGCAAUUAGCACAUAGCAAUUGGCAAUCAGCCGAAAACGAUUUGGUUUGGCUGGUUGCUCAUUGCUAGCUGCUAACUGCAGCUCGUGCCGCCCAGGCGGCUAACAGGACGAUAUUUGACAACUGAAUAGAUUGAUGUAACUACAAAGGCGCAAGAGAAAUUUUAUGAGUACCUUAGAAAUUUCUGCUGGGGUGGCCGUCCGUGAUGCAAACGGGCAUACUGGCCGCGAUGAGCAGAUCUGGAUGAGGUCAUAAAAGGAGCUCUUAGCAAUUGGCAAUUGGCAAAUAGCAACAGCGGAGCCCGCGAGGGUUUGGCUGAUUGCUGAGUGCUGGCUGCUGAGUGCUCUGGGUAAAUUUUAUGGUCAAGUUACUAAGGGCGCAUGGUGGAUGCCUUGGCAGAAGAUGGCGACGAAGGACGUGGCAAGCUGCGAUAAGCCUCGAUGAGCUGCAAGCAAGCUUUGACUCGGGGAUGUCCGAAUGGGGAAACCCGGAAGGGCG